GGGGGUAUAGCCUAUGGGUAGAGCAUUCGACUGCAGAUCGAGAGGUCUCCCCGGUUCAAACCUGGGUGCCCCCC
Non-coding RNA from Araneus ventricosus, 74 nucleotides. NCBI's taxonomy places the organism in Eukaryota, Metazoa, Arthropoda, Arachnida, Araneae, Araneidae. The record is from the annotation of a GenBank genome assembly.